GACGGUACUUGAUGAAUCAGCUUCGGCUAAUUCCGUGCCAGCAGCCGCGGUAAUACGGAAGUGGCAAGCGUUAUCCGGAAUGAUUGGGCGUAAAGCGUCCGCAGGCGGCCUUGUAAGUCUGUCGUCAAAGCGUGGAGCUUAACUCCAUUUAAGCGAUGGAAACUGUAAGGCUAGAGUGUGGUAGGGGCAGAGGGAAUUCCCGGUGUAGCGGUGAAAUGCGUAGAUAUCGGGAAGAACACCAGUGGCGAAGGCGCUCUGCUGGGCCAUAACUGACGCUCAUGGACGAAAGCCAGGGGAGCGAAGGGGAUUAGAUACCCCUGUAGUCCUGGCCGUAAACGAUGAACACUAGGUGUCGAGAGGAAUCGACCCCCUCGGUGUCGUACCCAACGCGUUAAGUGUUCCGCCUGGGGAGUACGCACGCAAGUGUGAAACUCAAAGGAAUUGACGGGGGCCCGCACAAGCGGUGAAGUAUGUGGUUUAUUCGAUGCACGCGAAGAACCUUACCAGGGUUUGACAUCCUGCGAAUCCUUUGGAAACGAGGGAGUGCCUUGGGGAGCGCAUAGACAGGUGGUGCAUGGGCUGUCGUCAGCUCGUGUCGUGAGAUGUUGGGGUUAAGUCCCGCAACGAGCGCAACCCACGUCCUUAGUUGCCAGCAUUUAGUUGGGCACUCUAGCGAGACCGCCGGUGAUAAACCGGAGGAAGGUGUGGAUGACGUCAAGUCAUCAUGCCCCUUACAUCCUGGGCUACACACGUACUACAAUGCUACGGACAAAGGGCAGCAAACUCGCGAGAGCUAGCAAAUCCCAUAAACCGUGGCUCAGUUCAGAUCGUAGGCUGCAACUCGCCUACCAGAAGGAGGAAUCGUUAGUAAUCCCAGGUCAGCAUAGUGCGGUGAAUACGUUCCCGGGCCUUGUACACACCGCCCGUCACACCAUGGAAGUAGGCCACGCCGGAAGCCGUUACUCCAACCUUUGUGGAGGAGGACGU
RNAcentral lists this ribosomal RNA (987 nucleotides) under uncultured cyanobacterium. Its description in RNAcentral is "bacterial SSU rRNA". It matches the Rfam family "Bacterial small subunit ribosomal RNA", at positions 471 to 1456 of the family's 1533-position model. The record is from RNAcentral. Lineage: Bacteria; Bacillati; Cyanobacteriota.